RNAcentral lists this ribosomal RNA (429 nucleotides) under Acidobacteriota bacterium. RNAcentral describes it as "Acidobacteria bacterium partial 16S ribosomal RNA". It matches the Rfam family "Bacterial small subunit ribosomal RNA", at positions 355 to 776 of the family's 1533-position model. Lineage: Bacteria; Pseudomonadati; Acidobacteriota. The record is from RNAcentral.
UGGGGAAUUUUGGACAAUGGGGGAAACCCUGAUCCAGCCAUCCCGCGUGUGCGAUGAAGGCCUUCGGGUUGUAAAGCACUUUUGGCAGGAAAGAAACGUCAUGGGUUAAUACCCCGUGAAACUGACGGUACCUGCAGAAUAAGCACCGGCUAACUACGUGCCAGCAGCCGCGGUAAUACGUAGGGUGCAAGCGUUAAUCGGAAUUACUGGGCGUAAAGCGUGCGCAGGCGGUUCGGAAAGAAAGAUGUGAAAUCCCAGAGCUCAACUUUGGAACUGCAUUUUUAACUACCGGGCUAGAGUGUGUCAGAGGGAGGUGGAAUUCCGCGUGUAGCAGUGAAAUGCGUAGAUAUGCGGAGGAACACCGAUGGCGAAGGCAGCCUCCUGGGAUAACACUGACGCUCAUGCACGAAAGCGUGGGGAGCAACCAGG